GCUGGGCACAUUGACGCAGGCCUGUGAUCCCAGCUACCCGGGAGGCUGAGGCCGGAGGAUCACAAGUUCAAAGUCAGCCUCAGCAACUUGGUGAGGCCCUAAGCAACUUAGUGAGACUCGGUCUCAA
This 127-nucleotide small RNA is filed under the name Marmota monax (woodchuck). The record is from RNAcentral. Lineage: Eukaryota; Metazoa; Chordata; Mammalia; Rodentia; Sciuridae.